This 549-nucleotide ribosomal RNA is filed under the name uncultured bacterium. Its description in RNAcentral is "bacterial SSU rRNA". It matches the Rfam family "Bacterial small subunit ribosomal RNA", at positions 356 to 896 of the family's 1533-position model. The record is from RNAcentral.
GGGGAAUCUUCCGCAAUGGACGAAAGUCUGACGGAGCAACGCCGCGUGAGUGAUGACGGCCUUCAGGUUGUAAAGCUCUGUUAAUCGGGACGAAUGGUUCUUGUGCAAAUAGUGCGAGGAUUUGACGGUACCGGAAUAGAAAGCCACGGCUAACUACGUGCCAGCAGCCGCGGUAAUACGUAGGUGGCAAGCGUUGUCCGGAAUUAUUGGGCGUAAAGCGCGCGCAGGCGGAUUGGUCAGUCUGUCUUAAAAGUUCGGGGCUUAACCCCGUGAUGGGAUGGAAACUGCCAAUCUAGAGUAUCGGAGAGGAAAGUGGAAUUCCUAGUGUAGCGGUGAAAUGCGUAGAUAUUAGGAAGAACACCAGUGGCGAAGGCGACUUUCUGGACGAAAACUGACGCUGAGGCGCGAAAGCCAGGGGAGCGAACGGGAUUAGAUACCCCGGUAGUCCUGGCCGUAAACGAUGGGUACUAGGUGUAGGAGGUAUCGACCCCUUCUGUGCCGGAGUUAACGCAAUAAGUACCCCGCCUGGGGAGUACGACCGCAAGGUUG